CCAAGACAGGGCCUCACUGUGUAGCCCUGGAACUCACUCUGUAGACCAGGCUGGCUUCAAACUCAUAGAAAUCUGCCUGCUUCUUCCUCCCAAGUGCUAGGAUUAAGGGUGUGCAUCACCACCGGCCAACAGGAGUCCACUUCUUAAAACUUCUAUUUCUGGGGUUGGGGAUUUAGCUCAGUGGUAGAGCGCUUGCCUAGCAAGCACAAGGCCCUGGGUUCGGUCCCCAGCUCCGAAAAAAAGAAAAGAAAAAAACAAAAAACUUCUAUUUCUGUCAAGUUCUUGUUAGGGGUUGGCGCAGAAAGAUUGUCACAAAGAACAAAUUGGUAAAAAAAUGAAAAAUUGUACCAGGUCCACAGGAACCAGGAAAGAAAGGUAUGUGGGUUGGUUUCCUAGAGCUGGGAAAACACAGGGAGCAGUGAGACUUGACUUACACUGUGGGUAGGGGAGAAUAGUGAGAGAUGCUGUCCUCUAAGCUACAGGGGCAAAAGAACCAGAGAGCCUCUUGGAACUCUCUUGGACUUUAUUUUCAGCUUAGCAGCAAUAAGGAAGUUGUCAUUGACUGUGUAGCGUUGGACAAGUUACCUAAUCUCUGUCUGUCCUACUGCACUGUGGUUUGGUAAAAUGAGCAAAAGUAAUACCACCAACUUGGUAAGGUUUUGUGGAGAGGAAAUGAGUUAAUAGGUUUGAGGUGCUUGGUGUGCAGUGGCACGCGGUGAGUCCUCAAUUAAACACGGGCUGUUAUUACGGGCCAUCGUUAACGAGGAUCCAGGAUCCUCCCUGAGCAGUUUGCUCUUAGCUACAGGAGCAAGCAGUGCUCAGGCGUGAGAGGGGCACAGUGACUAAGAGAGAAACCAGGAAGUCCACUGCAGGUGCUAGGUGUAGGAGCCCUUUCUAAGGACCAGGACUGAAAGAAGCAACCAGUUUAGGAGGGGGACCUUCAGACGGGAGAAGAGAAGCCGCGGGCAGAGACUUGGAAUGUAAUAUAAAGGCAUUGGGAAUUAAAGCCUGAAUUGGAUAGUGUAAGGACCAGCUAAGAUUCAAGUUCACCAUUCACGAACUCAUUCCCUCUCAAAAAAUAUGGAACCUCGCUGAGACCUGCAUGCCGGAGAUGAGUGGGACACCAUGGUUCUUGGCCCAAACAGAACAGAGAAAACCAGUCUGAUCAGCCACAGUUUACGAAGGCUCUGAACAUCCAGUGGACAGAUCCAAAAUGUCAGCUUCUGGACUCACGAAAGGGCCAUUCAAGAAUGCAGCUUCGACAGAGAACCCCUGUCUCGGGGUGGGGGGAAUGCAACUUAGGCUAAGCUGGGCCUGAGUUGCCUGUAAUAUAUGAAUGUGUCGGGACAGCAUUUGAGACGGACACUCGC
Rattus norvegicus (Norway rat) is the source of this 1370-nucleotide long non-coding RNA. The record is from Ensembl. Lineage: Eukaryota; Metazoa; Chordata; Mammalia; Rodentia; Muridae.